RNAcentral lists this transfer RNA (72 nucleotides) under Phytohabitans rumicis. RNAcentral describes it as "tRNA-Ala". Lineage: Bacteria; Bacillati; Actinomycetota; Actinomycetes; Micromonosporales; Micromonosporaceae. The record is from RNAcentral.
UCGCCGUUGGUCGGCCGUGGGCCAGAACUGGCGGUUCUGGGCGAUCGCGUUGAUCGCAUCCGCGACGGUGGU